CACAGAAAGGCGCUCAAGCACCCGUUUCAACGUGUUAUUGGUAUCCUCCCAGACAGGACCGCAUCUGACACGCACACCUGGGCUUUCUUCUCAGCGCACAUUUGAUUUACACUCUGCUCCUGAGCAUCAUCCAGAAACUAAGAAGUGCUAAAAUGAAUGGAUGCAGCGCCGGCGGAGUGGAUCGGGGGUCGAUCCACAGUCUCCUGUCUCACUUCCGAUGAACCACCACUGCCCGGCCCGUCUGCUGCCUCGAUCGGAUCAUGCCAUGAGAAGCCCAGGAGACUUCACUCUGUGUGCCAGCGCUUACUGUCCUGCCUGCUGGCCUUGUGUGGUGGCCAGAUGAGCUGUAGAUGCAGAAGGAGUGCUGACCCAAGCCAGAGUAGGACUCAAGGUGAUGAUCAAGAGCUGCUUGGUACCUCAGUUGAAGAAACUGAUCCAGCACCAGUGCCAAGUUCCGUAAAGCCCUGGCUUUGAAUGUGCAAAAUGAAGCUAUUACUGCUGCUGCAUUUAAAAUACCUCCU
This 521-nucleotide long non-coding RNA is filed under the name Scleropages formosus (Asian bonytongue). Its description in RNAcentral is "lncRNA (ENSSFOG00015027991.1)". Lineage: Eukaryota; Metazoa; Chordata; Actinopteri; Osteoglossiformes; Osteoglossidae. The record is from RNAcentral.